RNAcentral lists this ribosomal RNA (252 nucleotides) under uncultured bacterium. RNAcentral describes it as "partial 16S ribosomal RNA". It matches the Rfam family "Bacterial small subunit ribosomal RNA", at positions 524 to 776 of the family's 1533-position model. The record is from RNAcentral.
UACGGAGGAUGCGAGCGUUAUCCGGAUUUAUUGGGUUUAAAGGGUGCGUAGGCGGAUCGUUAAGUCGGUGGUCAAAUUGAGGGGCUCAACCCCUUCCCGCCAUUGAAACUGGCGAUCUUGAGUGGAAGAGAAGUAUGCGGAAUGCGUGGUGUAGCGGUGAAAUGCAUAAAUAUCACGCAGAACCCCGAUUGCGAAGGCAGCAUGCCGGCUUCCUACUGACGCUGAAGCACGAAAGCGUGGGGAUCGAACAGG